This 482-nucleotide ribosomal RNA is filed under the name uncultured Nitrospira sp. Its description in RNAcentral is "bacterial SSU rRNA". It matches the Rfam family "Bacterial small subunit ribosomal RNA", at positions 9 to 517 of the family's 1533-position model. Lineage: Bacteria; Pseudomonadati; Nitrospirota; Nitrospiria; Nitrospirales; Nitrospiraceae. The record is from RNAcentral.
GAGUUUGAUCCUGGCUCAGGACUAACGCUGGCGGCGUGCCUAACACAUGCAAGUCGCGCGGGGGAGCAAUCCCUAGCGGCAGACGGGUGAGUAACGCGUAAAUAACGUGCCCCUUGGCUUGGGAUAGCUGGCCGAAAGGCCAGGUAAUACCGGAUGUGGUCCUCGAUGGACAUCCAUUGAGGAAGAAAGCAGCAAUGCACCAGGGGAUCGGUUUGCGACCUAUCAGCUUGUUGGCGAGGUAACGGCUCACCAAGGCUUCGACGGGUAGCCGGUCUGAGAGGAUGAUCGGCCACACUGGCACUGAGACACGGGCCAGACUCCUACGGGAGGCAGCAGUGAGGAAUUUUGCGCAAUGGGCGAAAGCCUGACGCAGCGACGCCGCGUGCGGGAUGAAGGUCUUCGGAUCGUAAACCGCUGUCAGUGGGGAAGAGCAAGGACGGUACCCACUGAGGAAGCUUCGGCUAACUACGUGCCAGCAGCCG